This is a long non-coding RNA of Lutra lutra (Eurasian river otter), 638 nucleotides long. RefSeq lists it as uncharacterized. The transcript is spliced from 2 exons. The record is from RefSeq and is a predicted model, not a curated record. Lineage: Eukaryota; Metazoa; Chordata; Mammalia; Carnivora; Mustelidae.
GCAUCACAUCCUAGAGAAGCACCUGUCCUAUGCCUUAAGAGUCUCAGCAGGAAAUGGAUGUCCAUAUAUCAGAGUCCAUUGUGAUGGAAAGCCUGAGAAGAAGAUUCAAUAGGAAGUGUUGUCUUGGCAUCCGGCAACUUUGGAGGGCCUCAAAUGGCCUCACUCCAUGUUCCCUUCCCACUCUGCUCCCACAGAUCAGAUCCCCUGGCCAAAAAGCCCUCCUUAGCACAGGGACCAGGCACAGUUUCUUCCCAAGUAAGCUCCAGUUCCCUGACAGCCUGUGCAAUGAUGUAGCAAAUGAAGAUUUGAAGGGGCUUUUGAAGAAAUGAACAAGGGAGUUGACCAUGGACAUUCCAGGUAAAAACUGCUUAAAGGAUGAUCCAGAGGGGCUACUUAAAUAAUUUAGGGUAGAACCAUAAGCUGCUGCGUUUUCAAUUAAAGAAGUAAGAUGGGAUUCAUUCCCAUUUCAAAUGGUCUCUAAGGCCGAGUGAUUGGGGGGGGGGGGGUGGACAGCAAGUCAGAGAAUAGUAUACUCCUAAACAGGCCAACAUACAUAAGGCCCGAGAGAAAUCAGGUUACCCAUAGCGUGCUUUGGCAGACAACAGAAAAGGAAAUGAUUUCUAAAAACUAGAAAAUAA